RNAcentral lists this ribosomal RNA (462 nucleotides) under uncultured bacterium. RNAcentral's name for it is "bacterial SSU rRNA". It matches the Rfam family "Bacterial small subunit ribosomal RNA", at positions 28 to 491 of the family's 1533-position model. The record is from RNAcentral.
GAUGAACGCUGGCGGCGUGCUUAACACAUGCAAGUCGAACGGGAAAUAUUUCAUUGAGACUUCGGUGGAUUUGAUCUAUUUCUAGUGGCGGACGGGUGAGUAACGCGUGGGUAACCUGCCUUAUACAGGGGGAUAACAGUCAGAAAUGGCUGCUAAUACCGCAUAAGCGCACAGAGCUGCAUGGCUCAGUGUGAAAAACUCCGGUGGUAUAAGAUGGACCCGCGUUGGAUUAGCUAGUUGGUGGGGUAACGGCCCACCAAGGCGACGAUCCAUAGCCGGCCUGAGAGGGUGAACGGCCACAUUGGGACUGAGACACGGCCCAGACUCCUACGGGAGGCAGCAGUGGGGAAUAUUGCACAAUGGGGGAAACCCUGAUGCAGCGACGCCGCGUGAAGGAAGAAGUAUCUCGGUAUGUAAACUUCUAUCAGCAGGGAAGAUAGUGACGGUACCUGACUAAGAAGC